Molecule: ribosomal RNA, 492 nt
Filed under: uncultured bacterium
Lineage: Bacteria
Description: partial 16S ribosomal RNA
Rfam family: Bacterial small subunit ribosomal RNA
Source: RNAcentral
AGUGAACGCUGGCGGUAGGCCUAACACAUGCGAGUCGAACGGCAGCACAGUAAGAGCUUGCUCUUACGGGUGGCGAGUGGCGGACGGGUGAGGAAUACAUCGGAAUCUACUUUUUCGUGGGGGAUAACGUAGGGAAACUUACGCUAAUACCGCAUACGACCUACGGGUGAAAGCAGGGGAUCUUCGGACCUUGCGCGAUUGAAUGAGCCGAUGUCGGAUUAGCUAGUUGGCGGGGGAAAGGCCCACCAAGGCGACGAUCCGUAGCUGGUAUGAGAGGAUGAUCAGCCACACUGGAACUGAGACACGGUCCAGACUCCUACGGGAGGCAGCCGUGGGGAAUAUUGGAGAAUGGGCGCAAGCCUGAUCCAGCCAUACCGCGUGGGUGAAGAAGGCCUUCGGGUUGUAAAGGCCUUUUGUUGGGAAAGAAAAGCAGCAGGUUAAUACCCCGCUGUUCUGACGGUACCCAAAGAAUAAGCACCGGCUAACUUCGUG